GUAAUUUGUCCAGAGCCGGUCAGGUAAUGAUGUCACAAGCCAAAUAAGCAGAUGGGACAAAGUAAUUUUCUAUUGUCAUCUGAACACAAAUAAGUUAGUGCAAUAAUCAUGCAAAAACCUGAUGGUUGGGGCAACACAUACGAACAAGGCGACCUAUAAUUAGAGAAACAAAGUGGCUUGGUAUAAUGUUACACUUCUCUGUAUGCACCGAAGCAUCAGGUCUUGCCAAAAAGCUUUAAAAUGGUUGGUGUCUCGCAUCUUUCAGUCUUCUUGGAACGUCCCUUGCAUAUACCCAUUGGUCAGAGUUCAUAAAAUCGUUAUAGUGAAUAAUGCUAUAAAACUAUAGAGAUAAAACUGAAAGCAAGAACUGGGCUUAUCACAUCCUUUACUGGCAUGCAUGAUCAUGAAUUUUGGAAUCAGUAACCUAACAAUUAAGUGGAAUACUUAUAAAAAAAGGCAAUGGGUUAAUCUCAAACAAUAUACUUGCAGGAAGCUUGCAGAAUGAACUGCUUGAGCUUAAAGACAUAUUUUACAACUACAAAUUGUAGUUGGCAAAACAUUAAAACAUGGAUAGAUUCUUACCAACAACCCGCUGAAUGAGGCAUGAUGGUCCAAGAGAAAUAAAGCAAUGUUGUUUCCUAGAGGAGAACACACACCGAUUCCCUAUACUCAUGUCAUGUAUGCCUUGCUUGAGUCCAUGUAUAUUUAAUGUGCUCUUUCGCUAGAGAAUAUUAUUAGUUACACUAAGUUUUCUUUUCCGAAAUAGUCACCAAAAAAAUCACUAUCAUAUUUAUAUAUAGCCAUUGUUUUCGGGAAGAACUCAAUUCUGCUUUUUGCCAGUUCUGAAUUUGUUUUCUAGCAUGCAUACUUGUAGUCUAUAACACUGAACACCAUGACCAUUAGCUUUUUAGCUUCUUUUCUCACAACUUACCAGCUAGUGAAAUGACAUGGGUGCAAUGUACGAAUCUAUUACAUAGUCCUAAAACCAGUAAUUGGCUAUCUAUAUGUCCAGCAAAUGUAAUCUGCACAUGAAAGAACCUAAGCAUGGAUUUCAUGAUCUAUAUAACACACUUAUAACUCCAAAUAGCUUAUUAUCUUCAACAAAAUUGGUCUAUUACAAUCAAUUUAGAGCAGAACACAAUCUACUACUGACGUGGAGGAACUAAAUUUUUGGAACGAAAUAAAAAUUUGUAAUGUCAGUAUUAAACUUGUAGUUUAGCUAUGAUCAAAACUACUAAAUUUUGGACCGAAAUCAAAAUUUAAUACACAAUAAUUUGCCUCAAGAUAGUAAAUUGCUACGUAGUUAUAUAAACUGACCAAGAGUAGGCGAUACUGAACAGCUCCGGUGGCGAAGACCUGGUUGCCGACCAUCAUGAUGAAAGGAGAUGCAUGGCGCAUCAACAUGCAUGCCAAUGGCGAAAGGUAACCUGACAUCGAGGAACACCAGCGACACUACAUGACUACUUGGCCUAUUCGAAUCCACGACCACCCACCU
This 1495-nucleotide long non-coding RNA is filed under the name Triticum aestivum (bread wheat). Its description in RNAcentral is "long non-coding RNA (TAES_LNC005387)". The record is from RNAcentral. Lineage: Eukaryota; Viridiplantae; Streptophyta; Magnoliopsida; Poales; Poaceae.